Molecule: long non-coding RNA, 1806 nt
Organism: Clupea harengus (Atlantic herring)
Lineage: Eukaryota; Metazoa; Chordata; Actinopteri; Clupeiformes; Clupeidae
Source: Ensembl
CCAUCCUUCUCCAGUUUGUUGUUGUAGUCAUGGUGUGUGACGUCAUUCAUUCAUUCAUUCAUUCAUUCAUUCAUUCAUUCAUUCAUUCGUUCAUUCGUUCAUUCAUUCAUUCAUUCGUUCACUCAUUAUGAGUUGCCAACCUGGAAAAACAUCUCAUGCCUUCAUCACAUCGUGACAGCCACCAGCCAAUCAUAUCCCUCGAGCUGGAGAUGGAGAUGGAGCUGGUGUGUUUCUGUGUGUGUGUGUUUGUGUGUGUAUGUGCGUGUGCGUGUGCGUGUGCGUGUGAGGAGCUGGGUACAGAAGCAGUCAGUGUCGAUAAUUCUUCAAAGCUUGACAGAGUUCAUGUCAGCUAGAGGAGCAAACCAAGACAGGAUGGUCUCCCCUAACACACACACACACACACACACACACACACACACAUUAGUCAGAGGUAUUUAAGAGUGGAAGAUGGCAGCAUAUGACUUCAUUUAAAUACAUCUACAUCUAACUGUCCUCUAACAGCAAAUGUUGGUCUUUAUAAUCGUGUCGCUUCCGUUUGAAAACUGAGAAAGUCAUGAAAUAUGUUCAAGUUACUGCUUCAGAAAAACAUAUGGCAUCAUAACAGAUGUUAGUUAACUGCACAGAAGUCUUGAACAUGAACAACUUUAAGUCAAAUGUCAGAUGACCGCUAGGCCUGUAGUUAGCCACAAGACCGCUAGGCCUGUAGUUAGCCACAAGACCGCUAGGCCUGUAGUUAGCCUGCUGGGUACUGAAGCUGCAGUCCUCACUGGACUCAGGAACACCACUCUACCUUCAGGGGAGCAGGGAGAACAGAGAGAGCACUGAGAUGGAGAGAGAGAGAGAGAGAGAAGGGAGAGAGAGAGAGAGAGAGUACUGAGAUGGAGAGAGAGAGAGAGCACUGAGAUGGAGAGAGAGAGAGAGUGUACUGAGAUGGAGAGAGAGAGAGUGAUGGAGAGAGAGUACUGAGAUGAAAGGAGAGAGAGAGAGAGAGUGAUGGAGACAGAGAGAGAGAGCACUGAGAUGGAGAGAGAGAGAGAGAGUGAGAGAGAGAAAAACAGAAAGAGAGCGAAAAAGGUUGAAGACAGAGAGAGACAGAAGAUUUCAGAGGAUGGAUGAGUGUGUGUGACAUGUACAGAUUAUUGUGUGUGUGUGUGUGUGUGUGUGAGAGAAUGAGAAAGACAGACAGACAGAGAGAGAGAGAGCGAGUGUGUGUGUGUGUGAAAGAGAAAGACAGACAGACAGACAGAGAGAGAGUGUGUGUGUGUGUGUGUACCAACAUGACUGCUUAUGAAGAGGGUGGAGUCUCAGGGUUAGAGAUCUGUGUUGCCAUGGUGUUGUGUUUGUGUUGUCACGACGAUCAUUCCUGCUUGCUAUGAGAAGGAGGAGGUGGGGCUGGGUGCCACCAGAUCCCAGGGGUGUAGCAGAGCCAGAUCAGAGCCAGAUUCCUGCCAGACCAGAUCAGAGCCACAUCACAGCCACAUCAGAGCCAGAUCAGAGCCAGAUUCCUGCCGUGUUUGUGGGCUUCAAUCCCACAGUCGAUCCAGUCCUGACCCGGUACCCAUCCGUACUGGACCAACACAGGACCUGGUGUGUGUGUUGCCUACCACUACACACACACACACACACACACACACACACACACUCUGGAUCCAUCCCAGGAGUGAUGUUCUUGCGGGGCUUGGUUCUGCUUUGAGCUCCUAAAUGCUCCAAAUCUGUCCUCUCAGGGUUGUCCCGUGAUACGCUGAAGAACCUGCUCAGGAGCCCACACACACACACACACACACACACACACACACACACACACCA